Molecule: long non-coding RNA, 505 nt
Filed under: Gossypium raimondii (Peruvian cotton)
Lineage: Eukaryota; Viridiplantae; Streptophyta; Magnoliopsida; Malvales; Malvaceae
Description: long non-coding RNA (GRAI_LNC002672)
Source: RNAcentral
AAAAAAAGUGAAUUAAAUUUAAAAGGAAAUUGUUCGAAAAAAAGGAAAGAAUGAAAAAAAUAAUGAUUGGUGUGUGAAAAAAAUUCAAAGGAAUUGAAGUCCUCGUGCGAGCAUGGUCGGUGGUUGACUGGGCUGUGGAACGGAGAAAUAGAGAUGGCGAGGCAACUGCUAGGUGGUGGAGUUAUGUUGUUGAUUGGUGCAGGGUAGGAGCAACAGCUAGGUCAGUUGGUUGGUGCGGUUGGGUUGCUGUGCGGUGUGGUGGCACAAUGCGCUGGAGAACCGUUGGAUGGCAAUGAUGGAGAUGGUGGCCAUGGUUGAUGAAGGUGAAGUCGGCUGUGUGGAAGAGUUGGGAAGAAGAGGAUAAAAAAAUAAUAAAAGAAGAAGAAAAAAAAGAAGUAUAUUGUCUAGUGGGGAGAAUUUUGAUUGGUGGGGAGAGGGAUUUGACUUGGUCAAAGUGUGUUCACAUUUUUUCUUCUUACUUCCAUUUGUAAAAAUAUAAAUCGAC